CUCAAACUCAGCCUGCUCUCCCCAAGGCAUAAAAAAAAAAACUGAGCACCUAAAUACUAUUUCCAGGAAAUCCCUUCAGCUAGGAAUGUUCCAUCUUGAUAGCCCCAAAGCACAUUUCUACCAUAGAUGCGUAAUUUCCCAUGGACAUAUACCAUCAUAAACAACAGUUUUACAUUAACACACACUGCAAUAAUUUGUGGCAUACCUUCUUCUUUAAAUCACGCAAUACACAUUCAUUAAGUUAUUCACCCACGGGAUAAUUCAUCAAUUUGUUUAUUCCAGUCAAUUGAUAAAUGUUCCUCAAUGAUUCGUAGACUAAUUUGCGUCAAGCGUAAUGCACACCUUUUCUUCAACAAGGAAGUAGCGCGGCGCUUCUUACACACGAGGAUUCUUGGCUAUACCUUGAAGAGAUACAACAAAUAAUAUUUCUCCAACCAAUAAUUUAAGUGUCAUUGUCUAUAAAUCAUGGCAUGCGCCCCAUGCCAACUGUAUAUGUUUAAGAUAUUUCAUGGUGUGAGUGACAGGAGUUGGGGGCUCAACAUUCAGGGAAUUUCAUGAAUUUUGACAUUUGCUCUGUACUUGAAAGGUUAAUAGAACUCUCACAUUACUGCCAUCUGGUGAAUAAAAAUUGUACAGCACGGGUUAUUCUGUAAAUACACCGCAAUUCAGCUAUAUUUGAGACUUGAUGUAGGAUUAAUGAUACUAACUUCAACUCAGGUCAGAUUAAAAAAUAUAUUGAAUACCUUAUUGUGCAUACAGUACCAUAGGCAUAAUAAUACAGCCUUUCACAUGUAAACAGGCCUAAAAAAUGGAAACGCUAGCUGAAGUGGAUGGUGAAUGCAUUUGGCCAGUAGUGAAUAGAUGUGUAAAGACAAAGUAACAUCUUAAUCUCAUUUUGUCUUAGCUUGUAAUUUAUAAAAUAUUCCAUUAGAUUUGAUUUUGAAUCAAUUACAUUAACUUUUAUUUCUUAUCAAGAGAAGGAGAGGCGGGAGUUUCUUCAGUUAAACCUAUGUACACCCAUCUGUCCACUCUUUCCCCCCACACCCACAUUCCUGCAUACAAGUGCCAUCUGUCAACUAUUAAGUAAAAGCCACACUUGAAGAAAAUGUAAACAUUGAAUGAAAUGGAUUUAAUCAAAGGGUAGUUGAACAAGAGCGAGCAAAGUUGAGUAUGAGAGGAUGAAGUAGUUGAUCUGGCAGCAUGGGAUUGGUGCCAACAGCAAAACAACUUCCCCUAAUAUAUAAUGGAGAGAAGGAAAGCAUGGGGCAGUUGAGGAAUCAAUUAAAUUCCGUAAGAGAGACUCAGUAUUUAAACACCCAUGUAACAAGUAAAUAGCCUGAUUAUGAGGACAACCAUUCACAGGCAAGCAAUCUGAAAGCUUGUAAGGGUCAUCUAUAGGGAAUACCACACGACAUUUGAGAAUUGAAGAGACACCCCUUGAGAGCAUCUUGCCUAACAGGAAGUGUAAAGAAGGAGCUUUCCUAACAGGAUGUGUAAAGGAGGACAGGGAAGGAGAGGAGGGUCUCAGCUGAAGUCCAAAAAUUCUGAUAUGUUCUGUCCAGUUGUCCCUCAAACAGGCCUGCAGGUACCAUCAACCAGCAUACAUACCAUCUCUGAGUGAACUGUGAGGAUUGUCAAGACAGAGAGGGAAAGUUAACUGUUAAUUUGUGAUAUAUGUUAACAUACUGUAUGUGACUUGCUCUAUCAUAAUCCGUCACAUUGACCCCAAAACACAUUUGGAUUUUUAUACAGUGCUGAAAAGAGGCAAAUGUUAGCUUUCUAAUGAAACCCACAUGAUCUCUCUACUCCAAAUAUCAAGUUAGUUGCGCACCGUUAUAUGCUGAGUGUGUUUUUGAGAAAAACGCAAAGUUUGCAGUUACUUUUAAGACAUUUAUUCAAAUAAUGACU
RNAcentral lists this long non-coding RNA (1908 nucleotides) under Salmo salar (Atlantic salmon). Its description in RNAcentral is "lncRNA (ENSSSAG00000090546.1)". The record is from RNAcentral. Lineage: Eukaryota; Metazoa; Chordata; Actinopteri; Salmoniformes; Salmonidae.